GGUUUAUUUAGGGUAGACUGCAAAUCUACUUAAGCUUAGAGCGUAAGCCU
This 50-nucleotide transfer RNA is filed under the name Proasellus aragonensis. RNAcentral describes it as "transfert RNA-C(TGC)". Lineage: Eukaryota; Metazoa; Arthropoda; Malacostraca; Isopoda; Asellidae. The record is from RNAcentral.